Molecule: long non-coding RNA, 223 nt
Filed under: Lathyrus oleraceus (garden pea)
Lineage: Eukaryota; Viridiplantae; Streptophyta; Magnoliopsida; Fabales; Fabaceae
Description: Pisum sativum (pea) long non-coding RNA (PSAT_LNC037220)
Source: RNAcentral
AAAAAUGUGUCACUAACAUCUUUUGUUUGAAGCUUGAGUAUCAUCCAAGACACUUUGUGGGUUCUAUUUAGAUGAUCAGUCGACACAAGGGAAUGGCUUGAGAUACUUCCAACAAGUUCAAAUGGGGUCUAUUCGUUAGUCGAAACGUUAAUCUUGAAGGAGAAAAAGUUUGUUUUUGAACUGUCAUGCUCGCUAGGCGAAGCCCACGUGUUUAAAAAAAAAU